Molecule: ribosomal RNA, 484 nt
Filed under: uncultured bacterium
Lineage: Bacteria
Description: partial 16S ribosomal RNA
Rfam family: Bacterial small subunit ribosomal RNA
Source: RNAcentral
AUUGAACGCUGGCGGCAGGCCUAACACAUGCAAGUCGAGCGGAUGAAGGGAGCUUGCUCCUGGAUUCAGCGGCGGACGGGCGAGUAAGGCCUAGGAAUCUGCCUGGCAGUGGGGGAUAACGUCCGGAAACGGGCGCUAAUACCGCAUACGUCCUGAGGGAGAAAGUGGGGGAUCUUCGGACCUCACGCUAUCAGAUGAGCCUAGGUCGGAUUAGCUAGUUGGUGGGGUAAAGGCCUACCAAGGCGACGAUCCGUAACUGGUCUGAGAGGAUGAUCAGUCACACUGGAACUGAGACACGGUCCAGACUCCUACGGGAGGCAGCAGUGGGGAAUAUUGGACAAUGGGCGAAAGCCUGAUCCAGCCAUGCCGCGUGUGUGAAGAAGGUCUUCGGAUUGUAAAGCACUUUUAUUUGGGAAGAAAAGCAGUAGGUUAAUACCUUGCUGUUUUGACGUUACCAAAAGAAUAAGCACCGGCUAACUUCGUG